Molecule: long non-coding RNA, 2905 nt
Filed under: Rattus norvegicus (Norway rat)
Lineage: Eukaryota; Metazoa; Chordata; Mammalia; Rodentia; Muridae
Description: long non-coding RNA NONRATT010039
Source: RNAcentral
GCGGAAGUGGGUCUUCGUGAGACGGUGGAGUCUUGCUUGAGCGGGUCUCCUCAGCGGCUGCUGGAUUAGGUGCGUCCUUGCUCGAGCGCGGUGGCCAAGGCGUUUGGCUGAUAACACCAACUCCAAGUAAGGAAUUUAGACAUUCUGAACAUCUAGUUGGCUCCAAAUUGUGAACCACAGGAUGAGUAUUCAGUGGGCAUGAGAGAUUGAGAACAUUCUACCACACCAUAAACCUUGGUGUAGAUCACUUCCUAUUCUGUGGAUUGAAGCCAGAGAGCACAAUGAGUACAAGAAAUCCUCAAAGAAAGCGGCGUGGUGGAGCUGUGAAUUCUAGACAAACCCAGAAGCGAACUCGGGAAACAACUUCAACCCCUGAGAUUUCCUUGGAAGCAGAACCCAUAGAACUUGUGGAAACCGUUGGAGAUGAAAUCGUGGACCUCACCUGUGAAUCUUUAGAGCCUGUGGUUGUGGACCUGACUCACAAUGACUCUGUUGUGGUUCCUUAGAAAGGAGAAGGCCAAGGAGAAAUGGGAGGAGGUUGCGCCAAGACCAUGCUGACAGCUGUGUGGUGAGCAGUGAUGAUGAAGAACUGUCUAAGGACAAAGAUGUAUACGUGACUACCCAUACUCCUCGAAGCACCAAGGAUGAAGGAACUACUGGACUUAGGCCCUCGGGCACCGUCAGUUGUCCGAUCUGCAUGGAUGGAUACUCUGAGAUUGUGCAGAAUGGGCGUCUCAUUGUUUCUACAGAAUGUGGCCACGUCUUCUGUAGCCAGUGCCUCCGUGAUUCCCUUAAGAAUGCUAACACUUGCCCAACUUGUAGGAAAAAGAUCAACCAUAAACGGUACCAUCCCAUUUAUAUAUGAAAUGUUCACAACUGCUCAGGAUAGACCAAUGGACAGACAACCGGGCUGGCUUUUCUGCAUGGUAUCUGCCUCCAGUUUCCUGAGCUCAAAAAGACUUUCAAAAAUCAAUGUCUGAUGUAAACUGGUCUUUUGUUUUCCAACCCCUUACAUCCUUUUGUUAUCUCCAGUUUGAUGCUAUGGAGCACGAUCCAGGGAUCCUCCCAGAUCAGCUCAGCAUCUCUGCCCCUCUGGGUGGUCUGAACCCAGAGUUGGAAAAAAGGAGUCAGGCAUAUUGCAGUUGAGCAUCAUGGCUCUAGCCUCUUUGUGGAGCUUAUGUGUUGGUCAAGAAGUUUCCCUGUUGGGAAAGUUUGCCCCAGUUCUUGUGGGUGCAGAACAUUCCCAAGGCACCUGCCAGUUAGCUAUUCUGCCUGCCAAACAGUGACCUGGCCAGACAGUCCAUCUAGUCCAAGGAUACCAGUACAUAAACUGCCCGUGAAACAGCCUAGCUGGUGGACUUAGUUUUCCUUCCCAUGAGAGCAGAGGUGACCUGUGAUUAUGCCUGAAACUUAUCAUUGAUGUGCAGUGUUUUCUGCAAAUCAAGAGACUCUGCAGGGCAACCUGUUUCCUAAGAAUGAGAAAGUGCAAUAAAGCCUGUUCUUCACUUGCUCUUCAGCAAUCUGGAAGAUGUAGCACUGCUAGUAUCCUCAGCCCAGUGUUGCCUGUGGGAGCAGUGCCCAUCCCACCCCAUCUCUAUUCACCAACUGUUCUCAGGAACCCUACCCAUGCUCCAAAGUUCUUUGCCUGGCACAGAGCAUUCAAAGCUAAUAGGACAAGCAAGUAUUUGAGUGUCUUUUCUUUUCUGCUAAGAUGUGUCCUGUGUUGUCUACAAUGCCCUCCAACCCUCAGUUUUUCAGUUCCCACUGCCUAAUGUCUGCCCAAGCAUAGAUACCAGGAGGUGGUAGCAGUAACAAUGGCCUUAUCAGCUGUUCACUUACAUGCUUUUGCCUAAGUCACUGUUGCCCAUGUGUCAGAGGUCUUGCCCUACUCAACCUACCACUGCCCUGGCUUUCCCACACCCCUUGAAUAGAUAGAUAUUUCCAAAGCUGCUCUUCUGGCCAGUUGAGCUUUGAUCCUCUGGACUUUGACUGCUCAGUAGGUUUUGGUCAGCAAAGCGUGGUGCCUCCUCUUCCCAGUGGGACCACAUAACAAUCUCUGCUCUGGUGCUCUCGGAGAUAGCAAAGGUGGUCAGUUGCCACUGGGGACACCAGGACAGGGUAGCUCAUAAAGGAUAGGAUAGGCUUUGAAUGCCAGCCUGCCUCCACCUCCACACUACUUCCUCAGAGGGCUUCAAGUCAAACCAAUAGCCUUUUUGUGUGGAACAUCUUUGAGGUAGGAAAGAGACCACUGGAGCUUUGCUAGCAAUAACUGACUUUCAGUUUACUGUUCUGAAGGAGCAGGGACUCAGCACAGAAUUCACUUUAAAUGGAGCUGAAGGAGUGUCCCUCCUCUCUGUGAAAAGAAAAUAGUUUUAUUCUUCAUUCUGACUUUUUAACUGUUUGACUUCAGUUAGUUUGAAUGAGAGUAAUAAGUUUUUUUACAUGGACUCAGAGGGUAAGAGCAUUAACUUUCAUCAUUGUGAUGUAUGGUAUGUGCCCUCCCCUUGGAUGUCACAGCCAUUGAGUUCCCCGAGGGCCUCAUGGACUUGAUCUUGUUAGUUCUAAUGAUAGCCAGACUUCAAGGAGACAAGGCAACCAUGCAGCCAGUUCACUGGUAAAUAUGGUGACACCCACUUAAAAAUUCGUUUUCUCCUUAAAGACAGUUUAUGAAGUUGAUCAUAAAAGUUCUAUUACUUCAUCCUAAAUUAAAUUGAGAAAGAGACAUGUUUAGUUCUAAUCAGAAACUGCAUUAAUAGGAAAAGGUUGGUAUAAAAAAAGGUUUUCUUUCCUUUUUCCUUAAUGUAUAUAGUUUAACUCUUUUCUUUGUUACAUUUAAACUAUGCUCAUGGGUAUCAGUCUGUUUUGGACUAGUAUUAAAGAUGGAAAUAAACAAUUUGAACCAAGU